Molecule: ribosomal RNA, 316 nt
Filed under: uncultured bacterium
Lineage: Bacteria
Description: bacterial SSU rRNA
Rfam family: Bacterial small subunit ribosomal RNA
Source: RNAcentral
GAUGAACGCUGGCGGCGUGCUUAACACAUGCAAGUCGAACGAAGCACCUUGAUUUCUUCGGAUUGAUUGGUGACUGAGUGGCGGACGGGUGAGUAACGCGUGGGUAACCUGCCUCACACAGGGGGAUAACAGUUAGAAAUGACUGCUAAUACCGCAUAAGACCACAGCACCGCAUGGUGCAGUGGUAAAAACUCCGGUGGUGUGAGAUGGACCCGCGUCUGAUUAGCUAGUUGGUGGGGUAACGGCUCACCAAGGCGACGAUCAGUAGCCGACCUGAGAGGGUGACCGGCCACAUUGGGACUGAGACACGGCCCAA